Molecule: ribosomal RNA, 484 nt
Filed under: uncultured bacterium
Lineage: Bacteria
Description: partial 16S ribosomal RNA
Rfam family: Bacterial small subunit ribosomal RNA
Source: RNAcentral
AUUGAACGCUGGCGGAAUGCUUUACACAUGCAAGUCGAACGGCAGCACGGGGGCAACCCUGGUGGCGAGUGGCGAACGGGUGAGUAAUACAUCGGAACGUGCCCGGUCGUGGGGGAUAACGUAGCGAAAGUUACGCUAAUACCGCAUACGAUCUGAGGAUGAAAGCGGGGGACCUUCGGGCCUCGCGCGAUCGGAGCGGCCGAUGUCAGAUUAGGUAGUUGGUGGGGUAAAGGCCUACCAAGCCGACGAUCUGUAGCUGGUCUGAGAGGACGACCAGCCACACUGGGACUGAGACACGGCCCAGACUCCUACGGGAGGCAGCAGUGGGGAAUUUUGGACAAUGGGGGCAAGCCUGAUCCAGCCAUUCCGCGUGCAGGACGAAGGCCUUCGGGUUGUAAACUGCUUUUGUAUGGAACGAAAAGGCUCUGGCUAAUACCUGGGGCUCAUGACGGUACCGUAAGAAUAAGCACCGGCUAACUACGUG